GCAUAUCAAUAAGCGGAGGAAAAGAAACCAACAGGGAUUGCCCCAGUAACGGCGAAGUGAAGCGGCAACAGCUCAAAUUUGAAAUCUGGCUUCGGCCCGAGUUGUAAUUUGCAGAAGGAAGCUUUAGGCGCGGCACCAUCUGAGUCCCCUGGAACGGGGCGCCAUAGAGGGUGAGAGCCCCGUAGAGAUGGACGCCUAGCCUGUGUAAAGCUCCUUCGACGAGUCGAGUAGUUUGGGAAUGCUGCUCAAAAUGGGAGGUAAAUUUCUUCUAAAGCUAAAUACCGGCCAGAGACCGAUAGCGCACAAGUAGAGUGAUCGAAAGAUGAAAAGCACUUUGAAAAGAGGGUUAAAUAGCACGUGAAAUUGUUGAAAGGGAAGCGCUUGUGACCAGACUUGCGCCGGGCGGAUCAUCCGGUGUUCUCACCGGUGCACUCCGCCCGGCUCAGGCCAGCAUCGGUUCUCGUGGGGGGAUAAAGGCACCGGGAACGUAGCUCCUCCGGGAGUGUUAUAGCCCGGGGCGUAAUGCCCUCGCGGGGACCGAGGACCGCGCAUCUGCAAGGAUGCUGGCGUAAUGGUCACCAGCGACCCGUCUUGAAACACGGACCAAGGAGUCAAGGUUUUGCGCGAGUGUUUGGGUGUAAAACCCGCACGCGUAAUGAAAGUGAACGUAGGUGAGAGCUUCGGCGCAUCAUCGACCGAUCCUGAUGUUUUCGGAUGGAUUUGAGUAGGAGCGUUAAGCCUUGGACCCGAAAGAUGGUGAACUAUGCUUGGAUAGGGUGAAGCCAGAGGAAACUCUGGUGGAGGCUCGCAGCGGUUCUGACGUGCAAAUCGAUCGUCAAAUCUGAGCAUGGGGGCGAAAGACUAAUCGAACCAUCUAGUAGCUGGUACG
Molecule: ribosomal RNA, 889 nt
Filed under: Chrysosporium kreiselii
Lineage: Eukaryota; Fungi; Ascomycota; Eurotiomycetes; Onygenales; Onygenaceae
Description: LSU rRNA
Rfam family: Eukaryotic large subunit ribosomal RNA
Source: RNAcentral